CCUACGGGUGACUGCAGUGGGGAAUAUUGCGCAAUGGGCGAAAGCCUGACGCAGCGACGCCGCGUGAGGGAUGAAGGUCUUCGGAUCGUAAACCUCUGUCAGCAGGGAAGAACGGUCACUGUGCUAAUCAGCAGUGAAUUGACGUUACCUGCAAAGGAAGCACAGGCUAACUCCGUGCCAGCAGCCUCGGUAAUACGGAGGGUUCGAGCGUUAAUCGGAAUUACUGGGCGUAAAGCGCUCGUAGGCGGUAUGUCAAGUCAAGGGUGAAAUCCCCGCGCUCAACGUGGGAACUGCCUUUGAAACUGGCAGACUGGAGUGUGUGAGAGGAUAGUGGAAUUCCAGGUGUAGGAGUGAAAUCCGUAGAUAUCUGGAGGAACAUCAGUGGCGAAGGCGACUAUCUGGCACAUAACUGACGCUGAGGAGCGAAAGCGUGGGUAGCAAACAGGAUUAGAUACCCUAGUAGUC
This 465-nucleotide ribosomal RNA is filed under the name uncultured bacterium. RNAcentral's name for it is "partial 16S ribosomal RNA". It matches the Rfam family "Bacterial small subunit ribosomal RNA", at positions 338 to 795 of the family's 1533-position model. The record is from RNAcentral.